AUUGAACGCUGACGGCAUGCUUUACACAUGCAAGUCGAACGGCAGCACGGGAGCGAUCCUGGUGGCGAGUGGCGAACGGGUGAGUAAUGUAUCGGAACAUGCCCAGUCGUGGGGGAUAACGCAGCGAAAGUUGUGCUAAUACCGCAUACGAUCUAUGGAUGAAAGCGGGGGAUCGCAAGACCUCGCGCGAUUGGAGUGGCCGGUAUCAGAUUAGGUAGUUGGUGGGGUAAAGGCCCACCAAGCCGACGAUCUGUAGCUGGUCUGAGAGGACGGCCAGCCAAACGGGGACUGGGACACGGACCAGACUCCUACGGGAGGCAGCAGUGGGGAAUUUUGGACAAUGGGCGCAAGCCUGAUCCAGCAAUGCCGCGUGCAGGAUGAAGGCCUUCGGGUUGUAAACUGCUUUUGUAUGGAACGAAAAGACUCUCUCUAAUAAAGGGGGUUGAUGACGGUACCAUGAGAAUAAGCACCGGCUAACUACGUGCCAGCAGCCGCGGUAA
RNAcentral lists this ribosomal RNA (500 nucleotides) under uncultured bacterium. Its description in RNAcentral is "partial 16S ribosomal RNA". It matches the Rfam family "Bacterial small subunit ribosomal RNA", at positions 30 to 523 of the family's 1533-position model. The record is from RNAcentral.